GCCGGCGACCGAAGCCCCCGGUGAACGGCGGCCGCAACUAUAACGGUCCUAAGGUAGCGAAAUUCCUUGUCGGGUAAGUUCCGACCCGCACGAAA
RNAcentral lists this small RNA (95 nucleotides) under Helianthus annuus (common sunflower). RNAcentral's name for it is "Bacterial large subunit ribosomal RNA". It matches the Rfam family "Bacterial large subunit ribosomal RNA", at positions 1904 to 1997 of the family's 2925-position model. The record is from RNAcentral. Lineage: Eukaryota; Viridiplantae; Streptophyta; Magnoliopsida; Asterales; Asteraceae.